GAUGAACGCUGGCGGCGUGCCUAAUACAUGCAAGUCGAGCGAACAGACGAGGAGCUUGCUCCUCUGACGUUAGCGGCGGACGGGUGAGUAACACGUGGAUAACCUACCUAUAAGACUGGGAUAACUUCGGGAAACCGGAGCUAAUACCGGAUAAUAUUUUGAACCGCAUGGUUCAUUAGUGAAAGACGGUUUUGCUGUCACUUAUAGAUGGAUCCGCGCUGCAUUAGCUAGUUGGUAAGGUAACGGCUUACCAAGGCGACGAUGCAUAGCCGACCUGAGAGGGUGAUCGGCCACACUGGAACUGAGACACGGUCCAGACUCCUACGGGAGGCAGCAGUAGGGAAUCUUCCGCAAUGGGCGAAAGCCUGACGGAGCAACGCCGCGUGAGUGAUGAAGGUCUUCGGAUCGUAAAACUCUGUUAUUAGGGAAGAACAAAUGUGUAAGUAACUAUGCACAUCUUGACGGUACCUAAUCAGAAAGCCACGGCUAACUACGUG
RNAcentral lists this ribosomal RNA (497 nucleotides) under uncultured bacterium. RNAcentral describes it as "partial 16S ribosomal RNA". It matches the Rfam family "Bacterial small subunit ribosomal RNA", at positions 28 to 507 of the family's 1533-position model. The record is from RNAcentral.